UUUAGCUCACCAAUCCACCCAUAACCCAUCUGAUCAUAUCUGAUUUUGGAAGCUAAGCAGGUUGGGGUCUGGUUAGUAUUGAGAUGGGAGAUCGCUGGAUAUGAUCAAGACUCUGCAGCUAAGG
Molecule: ribosomal RNA, 124 nt
Filed under: Pogona vitticeps (central bearded dragon)
Lineage: Eukaryota; Metazoa; Chordata; Lepidosauria; Squamata; Agamidae
Source: RNAcentral